ACUCAAAUGAAUUGACGGGGACCCGCACAAGCGGUGGAGCGUGUUGUUUAAUUCGACGAUAAGCGAAGAACCUUACCAGGGUUUGACAUCCUUGGAAUUUUUGCGAAAGCAAAAAGUGCCGUUUGGAACCAAGUGACAGGUGAUGCAUGGCCGUCGUCAGCUCGUGUCGUGAGAUGUUGGGUUAAGUCCCGCAACGAGCGCAACCCUUAUGGUUAGUUGGAUUUCUCUAACCAGACUGCCUCGGCAACGGGGAGGAAGGAGGGGAUGAUGUCAGGUCAGUAUUUCCCUUACAUCCUGGGCGACAAACACGCUACAAUGGCCGGUACAGAGGGCCGCUAAGUCGCGAGACGGAGCAAAUCCCAUCAAAGCCGGUCUCAGUUCGGAUUGUAGGCUGAAACUCGCCUGCAUGAAGCCGGAAUCGCUAGUAACCGUAGGUCAGCACACUACGGUGAAUACGUUCCCGGGUCUUGUACACACCGCCCGU
This 484-nucleotide ribosomal RNA is filed under the name uncultured bacterium. Its description in RNAcentral is "partial 16S ribosomal RNA". It matches the Rfam family "Bacterial small subunit ribosomal RNA", at positions 899 to 1397 of the family's 1533-position model. The record is from RNAcentral.